RNAcentral lists this ribosomal RNA (87 nucleotides) under Pseudomonas amygdali pv. morsprunorum. The record is from RNAcentral. Lineage: Bacteria; Pseudomonadati; Pseudomonadota; Gammaproteobacteria; Pseudomonadales; Pseudomonadaceae.
CUUGACGACCAUAGAACAUUGGAACCACCUGAUCCCAUCCCGAACUCAGCAGUGAAACGAUGUAUCGCCGAUGGUAGUGUGGGGUUU